Molecule: ribosomal RNA, 253 nt
Filed under: uncultured bacterium
Lineage: Bacteria
Description: partial 16S ribosomal RNA
Rfam family: Bacterial small subunit ribosomal RNA
Source: RNAcentral
UACGUAGGUGGCAAGCGAUACUCGGAAUCACUAGGCGUAAAGCGCAGGUAGGCGGUUUGGUAAGUCUUUUGUGAAAGCUCCCGGCUUAACUGGGAGAGGUCAAAGGAAACUACCAGGCUAGAGUGUGGCAGAGGAAGCUGGAAUUCCCGGUGUAGCGGUGAAAUGCGUAGAUAUCGGGAGGAAUACCUAUGGCGAAAGCAGGCUUCUGGGCCAUCACUGACGCUGAUCUGCGAAAGCUAGGGGAGCAAACAGG